Neofelis nebulosa (Clouded leopard) is the source of this 714-nucleotide long non-coding RNA. RefSeq lists it as uncharacterized. The record is from RefSeq and is a predicted model, not a curated record. The transcript has 4 exons. NCBI's taxonomy places the organism in Eukaryota, Metazoa, Chordata, Mammalia, Carnivora, Felidae.
GGGCGACUUCCGGGCUCCUCACUGUGCACCCUACCUGCAACCCUCACCUUCCUUUGCUUCCUCCAUACUCGGGCUCUGCAAUGAGAAGGAGCAGGGCAGCAGACAGCAAGUUUCACAGAGGGAAGAGACGAAAAAGGUUUAACGUUAUACGAGCUUUGGGAGAACUUCCUUGGGAUAGUACGACCAGAAUGGCUGCUCUUGUCCCAAGUCCUGGCUAUAGCUAAGAAGAGAAUCACACACAAAGCCUUAACCACUCUGCUCGGAGGAGACUGGAGCCUUCCAAAUAUUUUGGAUGGCCGUUGCCCAGGUGGCCCUGAAUCAGGCUGUCUGCUGAGAAUCUUUGACUAAGAACUUGAAAAGACAGUCCCAAUCCUGGAUCACACAAACUCCUAAUUAUUUAGAACUUUGGAAGCAGUGGCUAUCACGUUUUUUCACUUCUGUUGACUAACUUCUGAGUUGGAAGACGAAGCAGAGGUCAUCUGAGUUGAGUCUCCUGCUGCCCCUUCCUGCUUUUGGCUUAAGGAUCCUGCUUCUCAGACUAAAAAGUACAGUUCUCUCCAGUCCAUGUGCUAAGCUUAUGUGAGUAAGGAUUAGCAAUGAGCCUGGCUCUGACAGCAACACAGAUAAAUCAACAUUUAAACCUUUGGAAAGCCAUUAAAUAUGUGAUGCUCCCUUGUUGAUUAAAAUGGUUCCUUCAUUCCAGGAUGGAUAAAA